UUUAAAUUGAUUAAAUUGGGAAAUAAAUUUACAAGUGGAAACUACUAUUAAAGUCGAUUUUUGAUUAGAUUUAAAACUGGCUUGUGGGGGACUAAACUUUUUAAUUCAUUUAAAGAAAGAAAGACUUAUGAUACAGGAAAGUAAGAAAGAAUAUUGCUACGAGCUUAAAUGAGUUUAUUACAUACGGGGUCUAAAUGAAUUUAUUUAAUAUGAUAAAUGCAACUACAUAUGUGAUAAAGUUUUGAAUAAAAUGUCAGUCAAUAGUUUAUCAUUCAAAAUUAAGAAAGAAACUUAUAAUAUAAUGUUUAAGAAAAUAAAUGUUGCUUCAAAUUCAAAGCUAUGUCUACAAUAAGAGAUCAAUCAAUAUACAUGGUCUCUCAUGUCACCAUCAACAAAAGAAAAUCAAAGAUGUGUGUGGACCAAUAAUUCAGUCAUUGAAUUUAGUGGGGGAAACAUUAUUCAUGUGAUCGUCAUUAACUUACAACUACCAAAUUCUGAUACCAAUAAGACUAGACCCUUAAUUUAAAUUAAUUUCGAACUCAUCAUAUAUAUAUAAUAAGAAUAAUAAUAAUUUGAAUAAAUCUCUUUUGCAAAUUUUCUCUCUCUUUCAUUAUUAGAUGUCAUGGACACAAGCAAACUUAUUUGUCCACAUAAAUUGUGUAACGAAGAAGCCGGAGUUAAUUUGAAGAAAUGAAAGCAACCUCAACUUUAAUUUUCAUUAGAGAUGAGUUCAAUUAGAUAUAAUAUGCUCUUUAAUAAUGUACAUAUUCUUUAUUAAUUUGCUAAAGUUGUUUCAUGUAUUCUUGUAAAGCAUAUCAAAAUAUAUCUAUAAUUAAUUAUUGAAUACUUACUUCAUCAACACAAUAAAAAUGCAGCAUGUAUAUAAUUAUUUAGUAGUUAAUUAAGCUUAGUCAAAUUAACUAUUAACUGCACAUCCAUUUCACUUCAUUUUCUAAUAAAAAUCUAGCUAGGAACUACCGAACUAGUUAUGUUCCCUAUAGGCUGUAAGCGUUUCUUUCUACAAUAAAUUUGCCUCGUUACUUUGCACUGAGCGAUUGAGAGGUAACUAGGAAUAAUUGAAGGGUUUUUGAUCAAGAAAUUAAUGUGAAUGUUAUUAGGAUGGUCCAAACAGUAGAACCAUAACCGAUUUGCUAGAUACUAAUUGAUGUCAUUAACUAAUUAUCCAACACUUGCAUAAAAAAGAAGAGAAAGGGACCAAAGAUGUCACAUAAUUUCACAAUGCCCCACAAAUUUUUAAUGCAACAUCUGAAAAGAUGCCCGAAUGUGGUCCAUAAACCUUCAGUUCCAGACAACAAUGAUCAAACCCACCAAGCUUUUAUGGAGUUCAAAGAGAUAUAUACAUCCUUACAUUGACAGUUAAGGUCUUUACAAGUAGAAAAGCCAAUAAAUCCCAUCAUGCUAAUGUUUAUGUGCUGGCCCCAUUGCAUUUUAUUGUGUGUCUUGAGGAAUGGCUAUCAUCUAGAUAAAGGUGAUGAUCAUUCAGAUUCGUUAGAUUUAUAAUUUGACAUGUCAGAUUUUGUCAUCUCAUGACAGUUUUCUAGUGCAUUUGUGUUUCUACUUUUAAAAUGAGUCUACGUAAAUUUAGGGUAAAUAACGUCGAACAAUUAUUUAAAAAAAAAAUAAAAAAUCGAACAAUUACACUAACAUGGACUAAACUACGCAUAAAUGUAUUUUAUUGGUGGGGUUAAAAUAAUAAAUAAAACUAUAUAAAUUUAGGUAAUCUGUGAGCAUUCACAGUUAAAAAAAAACACAGUGUAAUUUUAAUUGUUCGAUUUUUGCAGCAUUUGACUCAUAAUAAACAUUAAUAAUUAAUCUGAUAUGACAUUUACAUAUAAAUUGCAGCAAUAAUAAUUGGGAUUUCUGGCAUUGCUUAAAUUUUAAACUUACAACUUUUUAUUUUUACUUUAGACUCAUAACCUGAAUGGUUAGAGUUAUAUAAAGGGUAAUUAUCAUUUUCCCACUAAAGUUAUUUUGAAUUAUCAAGUCAUUACUAUGGUUUGCUGAAAAGUGUAUUUUACCACAAAAUGUUUACUCUUUUAUCGUUUUACCAUUAUUCCGUUAAAAGUACGUUAAUAUUUAACAGAAAAUGAGUUAAAAGUCCAUUUUGCCCCUGGAGCAUAAAAUCAUAAUAUGCUAAAUUCAAGUAUUAAUCACAACUCAAAACAAUUUAAUUAGAGAAAAAAAUGUAAUGGACAAUAAGCCAGAAAAAAAAAAAAGAAAUCAAUAACAUGCGGUGGAGAGAGCAAACGGCAGUGGAGACGGCAAAGAGCCAAUGAUGGCACUAUAGUGGAUAGAGCCAGGGGCGGAUUCCCCUUGGGACCAGUGGGGACUUAAGUCCCCACUGAAAAAAAAAAUUCUUUUAAUAGUUAAUUUAAUUAUCUUAAAAUUUCUAAUAAAUUUUUCUUAAACCCUCAAUAAUUUAUAUUCAAGUCCCUAAUACAUAAUUACGCUCAAAUUCUGACACUCUAAAUUUUUAAAACAAAUCAAAAGAGAUGGACUUUACAAACUAAAAUCAAGCCCAAAAACAUCAAUAUUAAUUAAAUUUUUAAACAUAAAUAUUAGUAUUAGUGUAGAGAGAGCAUUUUCAGCCAUGAACAUUUUGAAGAAUCGGUCACGAAGCCAAAUGAGAGAGUAAUGGAUGAAUGAUAGUUUGGUUGUCACAUAGAAAAAAAACUUAUUUAAUGAUAUUGAUAAUGAUGUUGUAAUGCAACGUUAUCAAUGUAUGAAAACUCAUAAAGGACAAUUGUAAACAUAUUUUGAAGUAUGAAAAAUCUUUUAAAUUUAUAUAUUUAUUACUUUUUAAAUUUUUUUAUAUUAUCGUUGAAUAAGCUCCCAGUCAAUCAAUAUACUAACUCCGCCCCUUAGCAACGAGUGAGAGAAAGACAAAUCGGAGAUGGAGUGAGAGAGAGAGAGAGAGAGAGGCCAAUUUUUAAGGUUGCAAAUUUCUUUUUUUUUUUAAUUAUUUAUCUAAUAAUUUGUUUAUUAUUUAUUUUACCAUUACAAACACAAUGUUUUGACUUCAAAGAGAAAUACCUUAAAUACCCUUACGAUAUCAGCAAACCAUCAACAACUUUUUAAAUGAUCUAAUGAAAUGGCGGUAAAACGAUAAUAGAGCAAACAUUUGGUGGUAAAAUAAAUUUUUUAACAAACCAUAGUAAUGAUUUGAUAUGUCAAAAUAACUUGGUGGGAAAAUGAUAUUUUCCCUUAAAUAAAUCCAACAUUUAUCAACCAAAAAGCAAACAAAUGGUGGGCUCUUAUGCUCUCAAAUCUCAGCUCCACUUGCAAAUAUGCACACAUUUGGAAAUUUGGUAUCCACAUUCUUCCUUUCUGUUCUCAUCUGCUUAAAAUAUCUUUUUCCAAAACCAAACAUUAAGUUAGGUUUUGUAAGUUGUAACUCAGAAAGUGAAGUCAUGCACAUGUGAUGAAAGGGCCAACAAGAAUGUCUGAACUCUGAUCAUAACCUUUCACUUCUAGCAACAUCCCCAUCUCUAAAUUAAUUUGUUCAAAUCUACUGCAGUCCAACUGCAGGAUUCGCCGGAGUUCCAACCAAUAGCCAAUUGACACGUGUGCUAAUGGCACAGGACUUCAAAAUUGUAUCACACAACACAACCAUGUCAACGUAUGUUACAAAUGACGCAUGCAUGAUGUAUAAAUAACCUUUUGUUUAAUCUAUAUUUUUCAUUAGAUAAGAGCUCUCUCCUUACGGUCAAAGUUUUUUUAAUUUAUUAUUUUCAAAUUUUAUUACCAAUCAAUCGCCAACUUGUAUUUGCUCAAAUAAAAAUUAUAGUUCGGAAACAAAUUUUGGUUAUGUUUCAU
This 3837-nucleotide long non-coding RNA is filed under the name Citrus x clementina. RNAcentral describes it as "Citrus clementina (C. clementina) long non-coding RNA (CCLE_LNC002028)". The record is from RNAcentral. Lineage: Eukaryota; Viridiplantae; Streptophyta; Magnoliopsida; Sapindales; Rutaceae.